RNAcentral lists this ribosomal RNA (380 nucleotides) under uncultured eukaryote. RNAcentral's name for it is "partial 18S ribosomal RNA". It matches the Rfam family "Eukaryotic small subunit ribosomal RNA", at positions 592 to 976 of the family's 1831-position model. The record is from RNAcentral.
CAAUAGCGUAUAUUAAAGUUGUUGCGGUUAAAAAGCUCGUAGUUGGAUUUCUGCUGAGAACGACCGGUCCGCCCUCUGGGUGUGUAUCUGGCUCUUUCUUGGCAUCUUCUUGGUGAACGUUGCUGCACUUGACUGUGUGGAGCGCUACCCAGGACUUUUACUUUGAGGAAAUUAGAGUGUUUCAAGCAGGCAUACGCCUUGAAUACAUUAGCAUGGAAUAAUAAGAUAGGACCUCGGUUCUAUUUUGUUGGUUUCUAGAGCUGAGGUAAUGAUUAAUAGGGAUAGUUGGGGGCAUUCGUAUUUAACGGUCAGAGGUGAAAUUCUUGGAUUUGUUAAAGACGGACUACUGCGAAAGCAUUUGCCAAGGAUGUUUUCAUUGA